UAGUGACACCCACGCACACACACACACACACACACACAAACAUGUGAAGCUUACGUUCCAGUCCAACGAAAUUGAAUAUAAAUAGGAGACAGUGUUUUAACUAAGUCUGAGCAGUCACCAACCAGUCACACUUGUUAGCAUCCAUCAGGUUGACAUCAUGAACGCCAGACAAACUUUAAACUUCGUGGUAUCUGCAGCCGUGGUGGCUCUUUCUUUUUAUGUGGUUGGAGUGGACGCCAUAUGUGAGGCGAGCAAAGGUUGUUUUACAUGCUCUAACAAAACCAUUUAUGCUUGUUAACUUCUGAGACAGACCAACCACGUUCAACAUGGAUACGACAAUGAAAUAUUUUAUUCGUCUUUCAAAUUUUAAGAAUUUCUUUUUUAACUAUCAUUAACAAUUGAGCUACAUCUAUAACAAGUAUUCAACACUAAUCUGUUACAAUAACAAAAGAUGUCUCGGUCUACAUAUUCCUUUAGUGGAGUCUUUCACUUCAAAGAAAUACCUACAAAACAAUAAAAUAGCACUAUUUAAAAAAAUG
Long non-coding RNA from Biomphalaria glabrata, 539 nucleotides. RefSeq lists it as uncharacterized. The transcript has 3 exons. The record is from RefSeq and is a predicted model, not a curated record. Lineage: Eukaryota; Metazoa; Mollusca; Gastropoda; Planorbidae.